GGGCGGGCCCUGGCUGCUGCCGCUGGUGGGCGAAGCUAAGGCGGCGCAGACGCGGGGCGGGCGUGGCGGGCGGCAGCGAGCAGAGCAGGCGGGUGGCGGGCGAGGAGAAGCUGAAGGAGUAUCAGCAGAAAAAUAGCCCUGGAGCAGCUGCAGGAACUAAGAAAAAACGCAAAACUAAAGAUGACUGUCGGCCCGAGACACCCACGGGCGAUGACCAGCAGCCUCCAGAGAAUGCAUACUUUGACAGUGAUGUUGCCACUCGUAGCGCUGAACAGCUUGCUCCCAAUGUCCCUGUGCUAUCGAACAGCGACAGUCUACCUAAUUGUCGUUCUGCUCUGUCUGCUCCUGGGAGCGUGCAGCUGACACAGAUUCAUGAAGCUGAGGAUCAUAAAAAUGCUUUGGAUGAGAACAGGUCUUUAUCAUCAACAGAAAGUCUCCGCCAGUUGUCUGAACAACUCAAUGGCCUGGUUUCUCAGGUACGGCCUCGUUUUGAUCCAUUUGUCCUAUUAAUUCUCUUGAUAUUUGAUGUGGAGCUUUAAGCAGUCAGCUCAAGAAAACACUCUUCAAUCUCAGAGGUGUCUGCAGUCA
Long non-coding RNA from Falco peregrinus (peregrine falcon), 588 nucleotides. RefSeq lists it as uncharacterized. The transcript is spliced from 5 exons. The record is from RefSeq and is a predicted model, not a curated record. NCBI's taxonomy places the organism in Eukaryota, Metazoa, Chordata, Aves, Falconiformes, Falconidae.